RNAcentral lists this ribosomal RNA (497 nucleotides) under uncultured bacterium. Its description in RNAcentral is "partial 16S ribosomal RNA". It matches the Rfam family "Bacterial small subunit ribosomal RNA", at positions 28 to 507 of the family's 1533-position model. The record is from RNAcentral.
GAUGAACGCUGGCGGCGUGCCUAAUACAUGCAAGUCGAGCGAACAGACGAGGAGCUUGCUCCUCUGACGUUAGCGGCGGACGGGUGAGUAACACGUGGAUAACCUACCUAUAAGACUGGGAUAACUUCGGGAAACCGGAGCUAAUACCGGAUAAUAUAUUGAACCGCAUGGUUCAAUAGUGAAAGACGGUUUUGCUGUCGCUUAUAGAUGGAUCCGCGCCGCAUUAGCUAGUUGGUAAGGUAACGGCUUGCCAAGGCAACGAUGCGUAGCCGACCUGAGAGGGUGAUCGGCCACACUGGAACUGAGACACGGUCCAGACUCCUACGGGAGGCAGCAGUAGGGAAUCUUCCGCAAUGGGCGAAAGCCUGACGGAGCAACGCCGCGUGAGUGAUGAAGGUCUUCGGAUCGUAAAACUCUGUUAUUAGGGAAGAACAAAUGUGUAAGUAACUAUGCACGUCUUGACGGUACCUAAUCAGAAAGCCACGGCUAACUACGUG